Sapajus apella (tufted capuchin) is the source of this 117-nucleotide long non-coding RNA. RefSeq lists it as uncharacterized. NCBI's taxonomy places the organism in Eukaryota, Metazoa, Chordata, Mammalia, Primates, Cebidae. The record is from RefSeq and is a predicted model, not a curated record. The transcript has 3 exons.
CAUUAUAGAUAUUUGAAAGCAAACAGAGAGAUCCAAGACGGCUGAUCACUAGCAGCUCGGGAUUGUAGCUCCCAGUGAAAGCGCAGAGAACGAGAGGACGCCACACUUUCAGACGAA